GACGAACGCUGGCGGCGUGCUUAACACAUGCAAGUCGAACGGAAAGGCCCUGCUUUUGUGGGGUGCUCGAGUGGCGAACGGGUGAGUAACACGUGAGUAACCUGCCCUUGACUUUGGGAUAACUUCAGGAAACUGGGGCUAAUACCGGAUAGGAGCUCCUGCUGCAUGGGGGGGGUUGGAAAGUUUCGGCGGUUGGGGAUUGACUCGCGGCUUAUCAGCUUGUUGGUGGGGUAGUGGCUUACCAAGGCUUUGACGGGUAGCCGGCCUGGGAGGGUGACCGGCCACAUUGGGACUGAGAUACGGCCCAGACUCCUACGGGAGGCAGCAGUGGGGAAUAUUGCACAAUGGGCGGAAGCCUGAUGCGGCAACGCCGCGUGCGGGAUGACGGCCUUCGGGUUGUAAACCGCUUUCGCCUGUGACGAAGCGUGAGUGACGGUAAUGGGUAAAGAAGCACCGGCUAACUACGUG
RNAcentral lists this ribosomal RNA (468 nucleotides) under uncultured bacterium. RNAcentral describes it as "partial 16S ribosomal RNA". It matches the Rfam family "Bacterial small subunit ribosomal RNA", at positions 28 to 507 of the family's 1533-position model. The record is from RNAcentral.